Molecule: transfer RNA, 74 nt
Filed under: Chloroflexota bacterium
Lineage: Bacteria; Bacillati; Chloroflexota
Description: Chloroflexi bacterium tRNA-Asn
Rfam family: tRNA
About the family: Transfer RNA (tRNA) molecules are approximately 80 nucleotides in length. Their secondary structure includes four short double-helical elements and three loops (D, anti-codon, and T loops).
Source: RNAcentral
UCUCUAGUAGCUCAGUUGGCUAGAGCGUAUGGCUGUUAACCAUAAUGUCGUUGGUUCGAAUCCAACCUAGAGAG